RNAcentral lists this ribosomal RNA (378 nucleotides) under Cipangopaludina ussuriensis. RNAcentral describes it as "partial 16S rRNA". Lineage: Eukaryota; Metazoa; Mollusca; Gastropoda; Architaenioglossa; Viviparidae. The record is from RNAcentral.
UCAAUUGUCUUAUAAUUGAAGACUGGAAUGAAUGGUUAAACGAAAUUAAAACUGUCUCAUUUUAUAUUAAUUAAAAAUUGGCUUUUAAAUGAAGAGAUUUAAAUUUAAUUAAUAGACAAGAAGACCCUAUUGAGCUUAAAAUAAUUUUAUGAGUGAUAAUUUAUUAUUGAAGAUUUAAGUUUUUAAUGUAUUUUUGGUUGGGGCGACUAAGGAACAGGUGAAGCUUCCUUUAUUUAUUAGAUUAAUAGGUUUUGAUCCAGUAUUGACUGAUUAAUAAAGAUAGUUACCAUAGGGAUAACAGCAUAAUCUUCUUGGAGAGUUCUUAUCAAAAAGAAGGGUUGUGACCUCGAUGUUGGAUUAAAGUAUCCUAAAGGUGUA